Taeniopygia guttata (zebra finch) is the source of this 3694-nucleotide long non-coding RNA. The record is from Ensembl. NCBI's taxonomy places the organism in Eukaryota, Metazoa, Chordata, Aves, Passeriformes, Estrildidae.
UCUUAUUCUCCAACACAGGCUUGUCAUACUUGUAUUACAUUUGGGGAUAACUCCUGUUCCACGAUGGUAUUUGACCAACACCGAGGUCACUGUGGUUGGGGAACUCCUCGCAGGCAUAUACCAAAAAACAAGAUACCAUCUUCCUUAAUUUUGCUUUUACAAGAAAAAAUAUGAACAGAUAUGAAGUUCCUUAGUCCUUGAUAUUGGUUGGUUGGAGACUGACAAACUUAAGAAAUGCAAAAAUGUGUAUGUUAGAGAAACACAGAACUGGACUUGAAUGGUGGUGGGAGCAUGAUUCUCUUCAAUUUUCUUUGUAUUUUAGUGCCAUGCACAAACAGAAAAUUUAUUCUGCUCAAUCACUGGCAUUUUUUAGAGCAUACAGGACAAUAGGUAUCAGCUGCAGCAAAAAAUUCAAUGAAAGCUUGCUGGAAGCCACAGCAGAUAGAAACACCAAUCCAUAGAUUAGCAUUUCAGUGUUAUUAUCCUUCAGGCUGUGCAGAUGGUGGUUUGCCUAGUGCCUGUUCUUUUCAGGCACUGGCCCUAAUUUCAGGCACUAUACAUGCCUUAUCUCAUUUGCAUCAUUUUAAUUUAAAACAAUAGUCUUUAAAUUUCACAAUAUUUUCAAGCUCAAAGGUGCCAGAAUGACCUGUAUAGUGUCAGACAUCUGGAUAAAAAUACAGACAGAAUCUGGAAGUGCUAUAGAUUAUGCUUACUCAAGCUCCAGAUUUUCAGUCCCCUCUGGUUUAAAACUCUCUGCUCUCCCCAGAGGAGGUAUAUAUUUCAGUGCACUUCCAUGCUUCUGAAACUACUGUUGGCAAGAGCAAAGAUGAUUACCUUCUCAGUCAGGAGGAACUGGGUUACUGAUCUUGGUACUUAAUGGGUGCUGUGACCUACACUACACAGGACCAGUUCUUGUUCAUCAGAUACACUCUUCUACACUGAGAGCCUGAAAAUGUUUUUAUGGAGUUUAUUAUGAUGAUUUAUUUCUGUUGACACUACAGGAUUUCAAAGUCUGCCAAGAGGCUGAAGUCCUGAAAAUUGUGGCCAGUUUGAUAUGAAGCUCCUGCACUCAAGAGACAUUGGAUAUUAAAGAGGGAGGCAGGUGCAGGAAACAAAGCUUGGCAUGACAGAUGAUCCAUCACAUGUGGCAGGGAUAGAAAAUGGCAGUGCCAAGAGAGCAGCAGCACCCAGCAGCUGUGGAUGGGCUAUGCACAGGCCAGCCUGCAUCAACCUGCUGUCAAGGAAAAACAGCUCUCAGAAACUUCUGAUUUCCCUUGGGCUUGGAUGAAAUGCUCAUCAUGGCCCUCCUUGGGGUUAGUGCAGAAAACAAUUCUUCUCUGUCUGUUUUCCCCCUCUAUUAGAACCCUGGUUACCGAGAAUUUUAGACUUUCUGUGCUGACAGGCACUGACCCCCAAGAGAAUGCUGAUUUUGACCUGAGGCCGUGGAGAAGGCUUCCAAAAUUGAAUGACAGAACUGGGAUUAUGAGUGUGUAAUUUGAAUAGAAGUGUGGAAUAUCACAUUAUGGAAAACUUAGAGUUUAGGUUUUAGAAUAUAGUAAUAUAUAUAUAUAUAUAUAUAUAUAUAUAUAUAUAUAUAUAGCAAGAUGGAGGUCUUAGUGCAGUGUCUAGUCCUUCUUCUUCACCUUCUUCUUCAUGGGUUUGGAUCAUAUUGUGUAAUUGGAUAAAAAAUUCUGCACUGCAGGCCAUGGGCUAUUGGGUUAAAAGUAAAAAUAAUUUAGGUGUCAUUUCUUAAUUGGACAGUUUAUCCUUAAAAGGCCUUGUAGAGAGAUACAGCUCCAUUUUUAAUUUGUUGGAGUGAAAUGCUGUAUAAUUCAUGGUUUGUGAGACUGUAAUAUAGAUCAGAACUAAUAAACAUCCUAGUCCAAACAAGAAAUACCAUCUCACGCAUUUAAUCCCAACCUUGGCAAGAAAGAGGCAAAGAAUUCACACCCCUGUCCUUUAACUUCCCAGGGAAGAGUUCUCAUCAGUACAGUGUAGGUUUCAGUCCACACAUGAAAUCACAGCCAGCUUUUGUGCUGGGUGUGAUGGUGAGACCUUAGCCCAUGCGUGUGAUUGCACCUGGAGGCAGGUACACCGCAGCAUUAUCAAGAAGUGGCCAGAUUGGAAUGUGUUUUGCCCUCCUGGGAAGCACAGCCUGCCCUGUUCCUGUGAGCAUACCAGCAGGCAAGGCUAGGGGGAAGACUGGAGAUUUGUAUACCCUUCUGCAUAAGUAGCUGUAAAUUUUCAGCUGGAAGGAGCACUGCAGUGGUAUUUUUACUUUCUACAGAGUAACUACUAGUCGUACUUUGUAUAGUGCUCUAUUACUUUUCCAAAAGGAGAAGACCAAAUACAGACACUGCAGUGUGUUCAGGGGUUCCCCUUCAGUGGAUAUUAGGAGCUGCUCAUAGAAAGCAUUGCCAGAGAAGUUUUCAUGUUGAAUGACUCCACGAGGUGUGUGGGUGAAAAACGCAGCAUCCACUGCAUAAUUCUGGCUAUCUCCUUCCUUCUGAGCCAUAUGAUGCACCAGGCUGCAUCACUCAGUGCAGGACAAGUCCAAGACACAGAAGACCAAUAACAAUAGGUAGAAAAAUCUAUUUUUUAACUCUAGUGACUUAGCAAGUGAACAUUUGAUUUUUUUUUUUUUUAUACAAAGUAUCAAUGUCCUGAUGAGUCUUUGGCUGUGACUCACCUUGCAAUACUAAAUAAUACAAGAAAGCUUCAUUUAAGGUCCUGUUCUGAAUCAAGAGGUUCUCCAAUCCAUUAUGUUGCCUGUACUUAUAUUGCCUGACAAUUAGUAUUAUUGUAAUAUUAUACUGAUUUUGAACAGAAAAAACACUGUAGGUGCUACUACUUUCUCAUGAAAUUUUCUUCAAAACAGAAAUAUUGAUUUCUUAGAGUUUUAACUCCUUAGCUUCCAACCAAAACUAAAAUACCUUCUCAGUCAUUCCUGUCUAAAAAUUAAUAUUACUGAGUUUCAGGUAAUGCAGUAUAAGCCUUAAAAUUUGCAGGAAAACCGGAGUUGUAAGACAGUCUUGGAGCCCAGGGUCAGUAUGGCACUGGUACUACAUGUAGCCCCCAGCUCUGAAAUUUAUAUACUCUUCACAAAUAAGCAUGCCUUUUCUUCAAAUAUAUUCAGUUGGAGUUCAUAUCCAUGUUAAAAACACAUACAGGUUUAAUUAUUUUGCGUUUUAUUCCAAGAGCGAAAAGCAAGCAGAAAUACUUAGGGGAAAAAAAAGCCAGACAAACCCAACCCCAAAGCAUUUUAUGUAAUCUUUUUCAGGAAACCCCUAAUCCUCUAAGUGCCAGUACAUUUUUAAACACUCUCAUGGUUAAAUAAUUUGACUUUUUGAUGUAAAGGUCCUUUACCUAAGUUUCCUCCUAAUAAAUUUUCUAAGUACUCAGAACCCUCAAAAUGGGAUUUUUAAAAUCUUUUUUACAUUAGUAUUUUUCCAGAAAAAAAUAUUCAAUUUAUCCAACCUGAAAUGAAUUGAAAAUCCAGUUUAGUACUGUUUGCUCUGUUGAUAACUGACUUUGUGCAAGUAAGAUCACCUGGUGCUUAGUUUACCUGCUAUCAAAUGAGAACAAGAAUUCUUCAUAAUCCCGUUUCUCUUUCUGUCUCUUGGGUGGAGAGACUCCACUGUGUCCAAGGAUCCCACGGAAUGUCCAUCCUCCAAGUGCUGUUGUACUUAAUAUA